Molecule: long non-coding RNA, 1064 nt
Filed under: Salmo salar (Atlantic salmon)
Lineage: Eukaryota; Metazoa; Chordata; Actinopteri; Salmoniformes; Salmonidae
Description: lncRNA (ENSSSAG00000082983.1)
Source: RNAcentral
UGGCGAAUGUCUCUUGAAUGUCUGUUGAAUGUGCGAAUAUAAAACCAACUUUACCUCGGUCUGUAUUGCUAGCAAAUGAGCUAGAAAGUUGUAAACAUUCGUGAACGCAAACCAACAUUCUAGCUAGCUAGGUAAAUGCUACAUAGGUUUAACAUAACCAAACUGAUAGCUAACGUUACUUACUCUUUGGAUGGUUUCUUGGUUGAUCUGAGCUUUUCCUCUAUGUCUUUUUGGUACAAAGGCAACAGACAUUUUGAGUUACAUUGAAUGAUAGACGUUACCGCCUGGGAUUUUCGGCCGUCACGAUAUAUGGAACGCCGUUUGGGUCUUAAAGCACGUGGUCAAAACGUAUGGAACGCCGUUUGGGUCUAAAGUACAUGGUCAAAACGCGAUAGUUUUAAUGCUGCGUGUGUAAACAACAAUCGCAGCAGUACUGUAAUGGAUUGCUUCAUGAAUGCUGUCUCCAACGGACCAUGGAGGAGAAAACAACACUGUCUGCUUGUUGAAUACUACUUCUACAAACGAGGCUACACUUGUGGCAGCACCUAUUCCUGUGCCCCCACAUCUUCUGCACCACUUCUUGUGGCCCCCUCCACCUAUACCACUUCCUGUGGCCUCCCCUCCACCAUUCCCUGAGGCUUAUCGUCCACCUUCACCACACUCUUUUGUUGAUGUUGGUGAUGACAAUGAGACGCUGACGGAAAAGGGGCAGCUGAUGAGGGUGGUCCAUCGAGAAUCUCUCCGGCUGCUAAUGAGUGCCAUCCAUUCCUCUGGAGUCUUUGAGGGACCUGAUUGGCAAAAAUGCCUUUCUUGCAACUCUCAAGCACUCUAUGAUGGCGUAUACAAACAGGUGGGCCCCAUGACUGCUGUCUGUCUGGUACAUGGGGGUGUAGAGACACAUUUUUUCAGAGAGGCUAUACAGGCAAGUGUGUGGCCUACAACCUCCUGUGCCAGAACUGAAAGAAAUUGCGGAAUAUGACUUCAGAGAGAAGUUGGAGAAGAUUCAAAAAGGGUCUGGAGUAUCUAGGUUUCCUGCCUUACAUGAAUAGACACUCAAGCUUCUU